GCUAAAAGUUUAGAGUGAA
RNAcentral lists this small nuclear RNA (19 nucleotides) under Arabidopsis thaliana (thale cress). RNAcentral describes it as "snRNA_16693". Lineage: Eukaryota; Viridiplantae; Streptophyta; Magnoliopsida; Brassicales; Brassicaceae. The record is from RNAcentral.